CAGCAGUAGCCGCGGGAAUACAGAGGGUGCGAGCGUUAAUCGGAUUUACUGGGCGUAAAGCGUGUGUAGGUUGUUGUUCAAGUCAGUUGUGAAAUCCCUGGGCUCAACCUGGGAACUGCUUCUGAGACUGAACGACUAGAGUACGGUAGAGGGUGGUGGAAUUUCCUGCGUAGCGGUGAAAUGCGUAGAUAUAGGAAGGAACACCAGUGGUGAAGGCGACCACCUGGGCUCAUACUGACACUGAGGUGCGAAAGCGUGGGGAGCAAACAGGAUUAGAUACCCCUGUAGUCCCUGUCUCUUAUAC
Molecule: ribosomal RNA, 304 nt
Filed under: uncultured bacterium
Lineage: Bacteria
Description: partial 16S ribosomal RNA
Rfam family: Bacterial small subunit ribosomal RNA
Source: RNAcentral